RNAcentral lists this ribosomal RNA (497 nucleotides) under uncultured bacterium. Its description in RNAcentral is "partial 16S ribosomal RNA". It matches the Rfam family "Bacterial small subunit ribosomal RNA", at positions 28 to 507 of the family's 1533-position model. The record is from RNAcentral.
GAUGAACGCUGGCGGCGUGCCUAAUACAUGCAAGUCGAGCGAACGGACGAGAAGCUUGCUUCUCUGAUGUUAGCGGCGGGCGGGUGAGUAACACGUGGAUAACCUACCUAUAAGACUGGGAUAACUUCGGGAAACCGUAGCUAAUACCGGAUAAUAUUUUGAACCGCAUGGUUCAAAAGUGAAAGACGGUCUUGCUGUCACUUAUAGAUGGAUCCGCGCUGCAUUAGCUAGUUGGUAAGGUAACGGCUUACCAAGGCAACGAUGCAUAGCCGACCUGAGAGGGUGAUCGGCCACACUGGAACUGAGACACGGUCCAGACUCCUACGGGAGGCAGCAGUAGGGAAUCUUCCGCAAUGGGCGAAAGCCUGACGGAGCAACGCCGCGUGAGUGAUGAAGGUCUUCGGAUCUUAAAACUCUGUUAUUAGGGAAGAACAUAUGUGUAAGUAACUGUGCACAUCUUGACGGUACCUAAUCAGAAAGCCACGGCUAACUACGUG